RNAcentral lists this ribosomal RNA (960 nucleotides) under Candidatus Uzinura diaspidicola. RNAcentral describes it as "bacterial SSU rRNA". It matches the Rfam family "Bacterial small subunit ribosomal RNA", at positions 231 to 1188 of the family's 1533-position model. The record is from RNAcentral. Lineage: Bacteria; Pseudomonadati; Bacteroidota; Flavobacteriia; Flavobacteriales.
CUGCGUCUGAUUAGUUCGUUGGUGAGGUAAUGGCUCUACCAAGGCUACGAUCAGUAGGGGAUCUAAGAGGAUGACCCUCCACACUGGAACUGAGAUAAGGACCCAGACUUCUACGGAAGGCAGCAGUGAGGAAUAUUGGUCAAUGGAGGGAACUCUGAACCAGCUAAGCCGCGUGUACGGAUGAAAGUCUUUUCGACUGUAAACUACUUUUGCUUAGAAAUAAAAGUUACUACGUGAUAGUAACCUGAAGGUACUAUGCGAAUAAGUGUCGGCUAAUUUCGUGCCAGCAGCCGCGGUAAGACGAAAGACACAAGCGUUAUCCGGAUUUAUUGGGUUUAAAGGGUGUGUAGGCCGUUUAUUAAGUCAGUAGUGAAAGCUUACAGCUUAACUGUAAAAUAGCUAUUGAUACUGAUAAUCUUGAGUAAUAUUGGAGCAUCUGGAAUGUAUGGUGUAGCGGUGAAAUGCAUAGAUAUCAUACAGAACACCAAUAGCGAAGGCAGGAUGCUAAAUAUUUACUGACGCUGAGACACGAAAGCGUGGGGAGCAAACAGGAUUAGAUACCCUGGUAGUCCAUGCUAUAAACGAUGAUCACUAGCUAUUGGAAAAACUAUAUUCAGUGGCUAAGUAAAAGCGAUAAGUGAUCCACCUGAGAAGUACGAUCGCAAGAUUGAAACUCAAAGGAAUUGACGGGGUUCUGUACAAGCGGUGGAGCAUGUGGUUUAAUUCGAUGAUACGCGAGGAACCUUACCAAGUCUUAAAUGUAUUCCGAAUAAGUUGGAAACAAUUUAGUCUAUAAGACGUAAUACAAGGUGCUGCAUGGUUGUCUUCAGUUCGUGCUGUGAAGUGUUUGGUUAAGUCCUAUAACGAGCGAAACCCUUAUUGUUAGUUGCCAUCGGGUAAAGCCGGGGACUCUAACAAAACUGCCGGUGUAAAUUGUGAGGAAGGUGGGGAUUAUGUCAA